This 171-nucleotide non-coding RNA is filed under the name pig gut metagenome. Its description in RNAcentral is "Lysine riboswitch". It matches the Rfam family "Lysine riboswitch aptamer". Rfam says of the family: Riboswitches are metabolite binding domains within certain messenger RNAs that serve as precision sensors for their corresponding targets. Allosteric rearrangement of mRNA structure is mediated by ligand binding, and this results in modulation of gene expression. This family includes riboswitches that sense lysine in a number of genes involved in lysine metabolism, including lysC. The record is from RNAcentral.
GGAUAGAGGUCGCAGAUGCGAUGAGUACCCUCAGCAAGAGUGCCUGCUCGCUAUAAAGCUGAAUGGGAAAGGCAAUUCUGCCGAAGGGUUAAAGCUUGGCAUCUUUGCCCUGAUUGCAUAUUUAAUAGGUAUGCGAUUGUCAUCAUACAGAUUAUGAUGGAGAGCUAUCGG